Molecule: ribosomal RNA, 628 nt
Filed under: uncultured eukaryote
Lineage: Eukaryota
Description: SSU rRNA
Rfam family: Eukaryotic small subunit ribosomal RNA
Source: RNAcentral
CGAUUCCGGAGAGGGAGCCCGAGAAACGGCUACCACAUCUAAGGAAGGCAGCAGGCGCGCAAAUUACCCAAUCACGACACGUGGUGGUAGUGACAAGAAAUAACAAAGCAAGCCAGUAUUCUGGUUUUGCUAUUGGAAUGAGUAGAAUUUAAAUCUCUUUACGACUAUCAAUUGGAGGGCAAGUCUGGUGCCAGCAGCCGCGGUAAUUCCAGCUCCAAUAGCGUAUAUUAAAGUUGUUGCGGUUAAAGAGCUCGUAGUUGGAUUUCUGUUGAGGACGGCCGGUCCGCACUAUGUGCGUGUAUCUGGUUCGGCCUCGGCAUCCUCUUGAGGAACGUUUCUGCGCUUGAUUGCGUGGAGCGGUAUUCAAGACUUUUACUUUGAGGAAAUUAGAGUGUUCGCGGCAGGCAAGCGCCUUGAAUAUGUUAGCAUGGAAUAAUAAUAUAGGAUCUUGGUUCUAUUUGUUGGUUUCUAGGGCUAAGGUAAUGAUUAAUAGGGAUAAUUGGGGGCAUUUGUAUUAACGCGUCAGAGGCGGAAUUCUUGGAUUGCGUUACGACAAACUACUGCGAAAGCAUUUGCCAAGGAUGUUUUCAUUGAUCAAGAACGAAAGUAUGGGGAUCGAAGAUGAUUA